UGAAUACGAGACGCUAAGGCGUCGAAGUAGUGUAUGUCAUACUUCCAAGAAAAGCUUGCACUGUCAUAGAUAAAAAACGCCUGUACCAUAACCGACACAGGUGGGUAGGUAGAGUAUACUAAGGGGCGCGAGAUAACUCUCUCUAAGGAACUCGGCAAAAUAACUCCGUAACUUCGGGAGAAGGAGUGCCUUAUUCGUAAGGUUGCAAUAACAAGAUCCAAGCAACUGUUUAUCAAAAACACAGGUCUCCGCUAAGUCGUAAGACGAUGUAUGGGGGCUGACGCCUGCCCAGUGCCAGAAGGUUAAAGAAGUUGGUUAGCAAUUGCGAAGCUGAUAACUGAAGCCCUGGUGAACGGCGGCCGUAACAAUAACGGUCCUAAGGUAGCGAAAUUCCUUGUCGGGUAAGUUCCGACCCGCACGAAAGGCGUAAUGAUUUGGAUACUGUCUCGGAGAGGGGCUCGGUGAAAUAGACUUGUCUGUGAAGAUGCGGACUACCUACACCAGGACAGAAAGACCCUAUGAAGCUUUACUGUAACUUGAAAUUGAAAUUGGACUUUAUUCGCGCAGUAUAGGUGGGAGGCGUUGAUUAUAAUCUUGUGGGAUUAUUGGAGCCAUCAGUGAGAUACCACUCUUGUAAUGUUAGAUUUCUAACUUUGAAUCAUUAUCUGGUCAAAGAACAGUUUCAGGCGGGCAGUUUGACUGGGGCGGUCGCCUCCUAAACGGUAACGGAGGCGUACAAAGGUUUCCUCUGAACGGUUAGAAAUCGUAUCUAGAGUGUAAAGGCAUAAGGAAGCUUGACUGUGAGACCUACAAGUCGAGCAGGGACGAAAGUCGGUCUUAGUGAUCUGACGGUACUGAGUGGAAAGGCCGUCACUCAACGGAUAAAAGUUACUCUAAGGAUAACAGGCUGAUCUCCCCCAAGAGUUCACAUCGACGGGGAGGUUUGGCACCUCGAUGUCGGCUCAUCGCAUCCUGGGGCGGCAGUACGUCCCAAGGGUUGGGCUGUUCGCCCAUGAAAGCGGUACGCGAGCUGGGUUCAGAACGUCGUGAGACAGUUCGGUCCAUAUCCGGUGUAGGCGUUAGAAUAUUGAGAGGAGCCUUCUUUAGUACGAGAGGACCGAGAAGGACAUACCUCUGGUGUACCAGUUAUCGUGCCAACGGUAAACGCUGGGUAGCUAUGUAUGGAGUGGAUAACCGCUGAAAGCGUCUAAGUGGGAAGCCCACCUCAAGAUAAGUAUUCUC
This 1242-nucleotide ribosomal RNA is filed under the name metagenome. Its description in RNAcentral is "bacterial LSU rRNA". It matches the Rfam family "Bacterial large subunit ribosomal RNA", at positions 1564 to 2815 of the family's 2925-position model. The record is from RNAcentral.